RNAcentral lists this ribosomal RNA (479 nucleotides) under uncultured bacterium. RNAcentral describes it as "partial 16S ribosomal RNA". It matches the Rfam family "Bacterial small subunit ribosomal RNA", at positions 28 to 523 of the family's 1533-position model. The record is from RNAcentral.
GACGAACGCUGGCGGCGUGCUUAACACAUGCAAGUCGAGCGAAGAAGCACCUUCGGGUGUGAAUUAGCGGCGAACGGGUGAGGAACACGUGAGAAAUCUGCCUUCAACUCUGGGAUAACUCCGUGAAAACGGGGCUAAUACCGAAUAUGAAACCUGCGGGCAUCCGCGGGUUUGGAAAGUUUUUCGGUUGAAGAUGAUCUCGCGGCCUAUCAGCUUGUUGGUGAGGUAAUGGCUCACCAAGGCGACGACGGGUAGCCGGCCUGAGAGGGCGACCGGCCACACUGGGACUGAGACACGGCCCAGACUCCUACGGGAGGCAGCAGUGGGGAAUAUUGGGCAAUGGAGGAAACUCUGACCCAGCGACGCCGCGUGCGGGAUGAAGGCCUUCGGGUUGUAAACCGCUUUCAGCAGGGAAGAAGCGAAAGUGACGGUACCUGCAGAAGAAGCACCGGCUAACUAUGUGCCAGCCGCCGCAGUAA